RNAcentral lists this long non-coding RNA (297 nucleotides) under Pan troglodytes (chimpanzee). RNAcentral describes it as "long non-coding RNA NONPTRT016858". Lineage: Eukaryota; Metazoa; Chordata; Mammalia; Primates; Hominidae. The record is from RNAcentral.
AUGCUCCUGGAUUUGGUGUACCACUUCCAGUCACAAAGAAAAAAAUCCUCUUCUAUCUAGUAUAUAUCCACCUGCUAUAGUUUUUCAGCCUUAUGAUUAAUUAGUGGUGUGUCAAGCCUUGAACUUUUUAUUGCUCCAUUUUAUUUCUUUUCAACUUAUUAUUGACCAUCUUUGUACAUAUUGUGGAACACAUUGUCUUUAGGCCUUGUCUGAUUCUUGAUGAUGGUGAAAGAAGGAUAGCUGAAACUACAGCAAAACCCACCCCCAUGAUUCAGUUACCUCCCACUAAGUUCCUUC